CCAGNCGUACGAUGAUACCCGUCUUGCUGGCCGGAUUAGUGGCGAACGGGUGAGUAACACGUGAGUAACCUGCCCUUGACUCUGGGAUAAGCCUGGGAAACUGGGUCUAAUACCGGAUAGGAACGUCCACCGCAUGGUGGUUGUUGGAAAGAUUUAUCGGUCAUGGAUGGACUCGCGGCCUAUCAGCUUGUUGGUGAGGUAAUGGCUCACCAAGGCGACGACGGGUAGCCGGCCUGAGAGGGUGACCGGCCACACUGGGACUGAGACACGGCCCAGACUCCUACGGGAGGCAGCAGUGGGGAAUAUUGCACAAUGGGCGAAAGCCUGAUGCAGCGACGCCGCGUGAGGGAUGACGGCCUUCGGGUUGUAAACCUCUUUCAGUAGGGAAGAAGCGAAAGUGACGGUACCUGCAGAAGAAGCACCGGCUAACUACGUGCCAGCAGCCGCGGUAAUACGUAGGUGCGAGCGUUAUCCGGAAUUAUUGGGCGUAAAGAGCUCGUAGCGGUUUGUCGCGUCUGUCGUGAAAGUCCGGGCUUAACCCCGAUCUGCGUGGGUACGGGCAGACUAAGUGCAGUAGGGACA
RNAcentral lists this ribosomal RNA (582 nucleotides) under Micrococcus sp. HPC702. Its description in RNAcentral is "bacterial SSU rRNA". It matches the Rfam family "Bacterial small subunit ribosomal RNA", at positions 58 to 659 of the family's 1533-position model. The record is from RNAcentral. Lineage: Bacteria; Bacillati; Actinomycetota; Actinomycetes; Micrococcales; Micrococcaceae.